Molecule: long non-coding RNA, 353 nt
Filed under: Helianthus annuus (common sunflower)
Lineage: Eukaryota; Viridiplantae; Streptophyta; Magnoliopsida; Asterales; Asteraceae
Description: hypothetical non coding rna
Source: RNAcentral
AUGGGUGGAGGCUAGAGCCAAUCAAGAUGAAAGAAGAUUGCUGGGGAGAUUCAGUUGGCUAAAAAAGGGAUUGGUAGGUGAAGGAAGCGGCCUGGGUGUUGGUGUUUGAGAAAUAUGUGAUUGAUGGAAUUAAGCGUCCUAUGAGAGAGGUGGCUACACAAUCAAUGUUUGUUCAUCUGUGAUGUUUGGGUUCAUUGAUAAGGUACUUAGUUCGAUUAUCAAAUAAUUUACUCAUGUUUGUUAGGUUUACUUAUGUGAAUCCUUUUGCCAUGAUUUAAUCUUGAGUGUGUGAAUCAUAUGACAUUUUUCACUUUGUUGUAUGCAACGAGCUUAAAUCGAGAAUUCAAGAGUGU